Molecule: non-coding RNA, 297 nt
Organism: Pelobates cultripes (western spadefoot toad)
Lineage: Eukaryota; Metazoa; Chordata; Amphibia; Anura; Pelobatidae
Source: the annotation of a GenBank genome assembly
AUUGCAGGGGAAUGAUCUAUACACUAAAACUGCUUUAUUUAGCUAAAGUAAUUUAGGUGACUAUAGCGUUCCUUUAAUUUGUGGUUUAACAGCCAUGGUUGGUCAGUUUUCACUGGGGCAAAACAAGGGACCACACACCGAGAGACGAACAAGGGGGUACGGACAACCGAACAUAGGGUGACGGAGUCUGCUACUGUUACAUACAUGUUCUCAAAUUCUCACCUUUACUAGCACAUAAGCAGAGAAAAAGUAAAAUGAAAGCAGGAUCUCCCCCUUAGAAUGUGUCGAAUUGAUAAA